GUGCCAGCCGCCGCGGUAAUACGGAGGGGGCAAGCGUUGUUCGGAUUUACUGGGCGUAAAGGGCUCGUAGGCGGCCACCUAAGUCGGUUGUGAAAUCCCUCGGCUCAACCGGGGAACUGCGACCGAUACUGGGUGGCUUGAAGCCGGGAGAGGGAUGCGGAAUUCCAGGUGUAGCGGUGAAAUGCGUAGAUAUCUGGAGGAACACCCGUGGCGAAGGCGGCAUCCUGGACCGGUCUUGACGCUGAGGAGCGAAAGCUAGGGUAGCAAACGGGAUUAGAUACCCCGGUAGUCCUAGCCCUAAACGAUGAAUGCUUGGUGUGGCGGGUAUCGAUCCCUGCCGUGCCGGAGCUAACGCGUUAAGCAUUCCGCCUGGGGAGUACGGUCGCAAGGCUGAAACUCAAAUGAAUUGGCGG
RNAcentral lists this ribosomal RNA (413 nucleotides) under uncultured bacterium. RNAcentral's name for it is "bacterial SSU rRNA". It matches the Rfam family "Bacterial small subunit ribosomal RNA", at positions 505 to 916 of the family's 1533-position model. The record is from RNAcentral.